GAAGCACAUUUUAAACAGUCAGUAUAUUUGACCUUAUUGUAAAAUGGAACCAGUGAGCAUAAAUACAAUAUAACAUUUUGCAAAUGUAUACACACACGUGACUAUAGCUCAACUUGAAAUACAGUAUGAACACAUGACAGGUUGAACAUAAAUCAAAAUGUUAGUGGGAGUUGUUUUAUGCAGUAAGACUGUAUAUCCAGGAAGCGAGUCACUGAAACACAGUAUGCAUCAUCAGACUGGACUAACAUACGAGUCCUUAAGUAGUCCCUCCUUACUAAAUAACACUGUGUUUUUUUUGUAUCCUUGUCACAGUUUUUGAAGACAAAAACUGGGAAAGCUGUGCAUGAGAGAAUGGAUGACUGAUCACAUAAGGGGAGUGGACACAAGAGUGUAUCCCAACUCCUUGCCACGGAAUUAAGCCAGGAAGGAAAUUGUUCAGGGACUGGGCUCUGAAGGCUGGUUUUAACUAUACAAACCCAGGGCUUGGCCCACAGUCACCUAAUAGGACACCCAACUAGCCUUCAAUAGUUUCCUCAGCCAUGGACUCUGUCACUCACACUGUACGUGUUCAGACCUCUCAAGUUCUUGAAAGAGCACUCUCCCUAACUGAGAAGUCUUGGGUUCACCUCUGGUUGUUCAGCUCUGAUUUUACAUAGUUCAGUUUUCCAUAUAAGGUCAUUUUUUACUUGUGCAUCUUUAACAUGAUGAGAGCAGCAAAGAAGAGGAAAUAAUAGAAGAGACCAGGCAUUCUUUUUUGUCUAGUUGAUCAUGCAGACUUCCACAGCACAGAUCCUUUCCCCCAAGAAGACCCAACAUGAAAAUCACACCAAUACAAAAGCUCGGUGGCAUCAUUUUCCCCUUCUGAAUUCUAUUAAGUCGGAAGCUGUCACAAAUCCCACCUAUUGUUGGAAAUGCACGGCAUCUCUGGAAGUCCUUCCGACAUAAACAUGAAGCGCCUGCAUCUGCUAAUGCAGCUUCUUGUAAAGACACACAGCCUUCCUCAGUCAGCUUACUUCUAAUAUCACCAUCAACUGGGUCUGGACUCCACUAAGGCAGGGCUCUGUAGAACUUUUUCUCAGUAUGGAUUUCCCCCAAUGGAACCUUUGAUUGUCAGAGCUGAGAUGUUGAUUGCUGCUGCUAUUAUUCCCCAGAGGCUACGGAGAAGAGAUGCUGUAGCUCUGAACAAUGGUCUGCCCUCUAACCAGCAAGGCAGCUGCCCUAGACUCCUCAAAGGCCUCCCUGACUGAGCCCUGAUGCAGCAUUAUAAUGGUUUGCUUCUGAAUCCACCCCAACACUCAUGAGAUGUUUUGGGCCUAUAAACUUAAUCCAGUUAUGGUGUCUAGAAGUGGAUCUGUAGGAGGUAAAGUCAAAUAUGUCAUAAGGGCCAGUCCCUCAUCCAAUGGAGCCAUGACUUACACAAAGAGGAAGAGAUACUUAAGUCAGGCUGGCCUAUUUUGUUAUGUAAUUUCCUGUCUUGUUCUGGGACUGCAGAGAGUUCCCACCAGAUAUGGCUGCCCAAUCUGAAGCUUCCCAGCCUUCGAACCAUGGGCCAAAUGCACUUUAAUUCUGUGCAAAUUGCUUGUCAGCUAUGGCAACAUGAAAUAGAUCCAGACAUGCUCCUUCCCCAGGGGCCAGGCUAUCUAUGGGACUGCCUUCCCACAGCUGUAGAGCAAGCUAAUUCAAAGGAAGCUCUGCACUAGCUUUAGCCCUCACUACCCCAAAGCAUGGACCAAUUUCUUCGGCACAGCACUUCAAGAUCUCAAAGGGAAUUUGGCAAGUGGUCUUUCCUAACAGGCCAAAGGCCGUCCCAUUUAAGUGUAGGACAAAGAAUAAAAAGUCUGGGUUUGUUCCGAGGGUGACUGUUACCCCUCCACAGUCCCUGAAUUGCUGAUGCCAGCUCUGGGUGAUCGUAUCUGAACUCGAUCUGCUAAUGAUCAACAGAGGAGCACUAAGUAAAACAAGUGAUUUUACUUUUCACUGACACUGUGCACAGGAAUGAAGCAGAGCAAGGCUGGAGGAAGCGCUUCACUUGGGUGAAAUCAGGCUAGCUUUCCACUUAGGCAGAACGAGCUCAGCCAGGAAGGCCAGUCACUUUGGCCUCUGAACUGUCUGAUGCUACCGUGAUGGGGUAGUCAGUCACUGGCGCUGACAGAGAGCUGGGAGGUGUGUUCAUUUGUUUUUCUCACUAUUGACUUCAUGGUGGACGGCAAGAAUGAGGAACUGGGAAGACUGUGAGAAAAUACUAUGCUGUUCUAGUGGCAGCUGCCAUUCUUGGGGACAACCAGACUUCUUGACCUCCCAGACAAAACUGAAGAUCAUUCUAGAAGUUCUGGGUCCACAGGUCAGAGCUGCUUUUGGAACUAGAAGCCAUGGGCUCAGAUAUCUGCUGCUGGGAUUUCCUGUGACUUAAUGAGAAGCCUCCACAGGCAAGCUCUUCCAGAAACAUCUUUCUCCUUUCUGUCACUGAAGCUCAAGACUGGUCACUAAUUCAGAGAACUGUGUCUGUUCCUUUUUCCAGGAACAAUGGUCUUGUUCUUACCCUUAACAUUUAUUCUAGAAUCCCCUGAAUUACUCUCCACCUGUACAAGGAUCUAAAGGACCCUUCCCUUAGUUCCGGACACACACCCUUUUCUUCCUUAUUCUAAAAACAGCAGCCCUUUCUUGAUGAUGGGAAGUACAAAGGCCAUCACAUACUCAAACACAUACAGCCUGAUGCUACUCCAAGAAAGCAGAACCAUUGCUUUUCAUUUGAUGUUUUCUCUAAGCCGGUGAGAGAGGUUCUUAAGACUCUACUCACACUUGCUCACAUGCCGGUCUCUGCACCAAUUGUUCAAGAACGUCUCUAGUUAUCAAGCAGAACCUCAAAUUGAAGCCUUCUGAAACUUAACUAAUUCUACUAGUCUUCAAAUAAAACAUGCUUAAAGGUUGUGACUGACUUCAUGUUUCCAGACCCACUAGUCACUUAUUGUUUACCCCACUGAUGACUCCUGAAGCACAGUCCCUCUUCUGACCUCCCUUCUCCCACAUCACUGAUGGCUUCUCCCCACCCUCCACCUCCCCCGCCACCCCACCAACCAGGAGCGGUCUCAGCAA
This is a long non-coding RNA of Peromyscus californicus insignis, 3093 nucleotides long. RefSeq lists it as uncharacterized. Lineage: Eukaryota; Metazoa; Chordata; Mammalia; Rodentia; Cricetidae. The record is from RefSeq and is a predicted model, not a curated record. The transcript is spliced from 3 exons.